RNAcentral lists this ribosomal RNA (471 nucleotides) under uncultured bacterium. Its description in RNAcentral is "bacterial SSU rRNA". It matches the Rfam family "Bacterial small subunit ribosomal RNA", at positions 8 to 524 of the family's 1533-position model. The record is from RNAcentral.
AGAGUUUGAUCAUGGCUCAGAACGAACGCUGGCGGCAUGCCUAACACAUGCAAGUCGAACGAUGCUUUCGGGCAUAGUGGCGCACGGGUGCGUAACGCGUGGGAAUCUGCCCUUGGGUUCGGAAUAACAGUUGGAAACGACUGCUAAUACCGGAUGACGUCGAUAAGACCAAAGAUUUAUCGCCUGAGGAUGAGCCCGCGUAAGAUUAGGUAGUUGGUGGGGUAAAGGCCUACCAAGCCGACGAUCUUUAGCUGGUCUGAGAGGAUGAUCAGCCACACUGGGACUGAGACACGGCCCAGACUCCUACGGGAGGCAGCAGUGGGGAAUAUUGGACAAUGGGCGAAAGCCUGAUCCAGCAAUGCCGCGUGAGUGAUGAAGGCCUUAGGGUUGUAAAGCUCUUUUACCCGGGAUGAUAAUGACAGUACCGGGAGAAUAAGCCCCGGCUAACUCCGUGCCAGCAGCCGCGGUAAU